CGCUGUCACCAGGGGUGUCCGCGGCGCGGGCUGAGAAAAUACCCUGCAACCUGAUCUGGGUCAUGCCAGCGGAGGGAGCGUGAUGCGCGGGCGCG
Molecule: non-coding RNA, 95 nt
Filed under: Chromobacterium sp.
Lineage: Bacteria; Pseudomonadati; Pseudomonadota; Betaproteobacteria; Neisseriales; Chromobacteriaceae
Also listed under: 1 other name
Description: TPP sequence
Rfam family: TPP riboswitch aptamer (THI element)
About the family: Vitamin B(1) in its active form thiamin pyrophosphate (TPP) is an essential coenzyme that is synthesised by coupling of pyrimidine and thiazole moieties in bacteria. The previously detected thiamin-regulatory element, thi box was extended, resulting in a new, highly conserved RNA secondary structure, the THI element, which is widely distributed in eubacteria and also occurs in some archaea. Analysis of operon structures identified a large number of new candidate thiamin-regulated genes, mostly transporters, in various prokaryotic organisms.
Source: RNAcentral